Acomys russatus (golden spiny mouse) is the source of this 106-nucleotide small nuclear RNA. Lineage: Eukaryota; Metazoa; Chordata; Mammalia; Rodentia; Muridae. The record is from RefSeq and is a predicted model, not a curated record.
GUGUUCUCUUCAGCAGCACAUAUACUAAGAUGGGAACGGUAGAGAGAAGCUUAGCAUGGCCCUACACAAGGAUGACAAGCAAACCUGUCAAGCAUCCAAUGUUUUC